UCAGUAACGGCGAGUGAAGCGGCAACAGCUCAAAUUUGAAAUCUCAGGUAUUCUACUUGCGAGUUGUAAUUUGAAGAGGAUGUUUCGGUUGUGACCUUGGCCUAAGUUCCUUGGAACAGGACGUCGUAGAGGGUGAGAAUCCCGUACACGGCUGUAGGUUUACUUCCAUGUGUAACUCCUUCGAAGAGUCGAGUUGUUUGGGAAUGCAGCUCAAAAUGGGUGGUAAAUUUCAUCUAAAGCUAAAUACUGGCGAGAGACCGAUAGCGCACAAGUAGAGUGAUCGAAAGAUGAAAAGCACUUUGAAAAGAGAGUUAAACAGUACGUGAAAUUGUUGAAAGGGAAGCGUUUGCAAUCAGACUUGCUUGCGGUUGAUCAACGUUCCUUCUGGUUCGUGCACUCUGCCGUUCGCAGGCCAGCAUCGGUUAGGACAGUGGGACAAAGACUCAAGGAAUGUGGCUCCCUCGGGAGUGUUAUAGCCUUGUGUGUAAUGCCACUUGACCUGACCGAGGUCCGCGCUUUUGCUAGGAUGCUGGCGUAAUGGUUGUAAACGGCCCGUCUUGAAACACGGACCAAGGAGUCUAACAUCUAUGCGAGUGUUUGGGUGUCAAACCCAUACGCGUAAUGAAAGUGAACGGAGGUGGGAGUCUUCGGAUGCACCAUCGACCGAUCCUGAUGUUCUCGGAUGGAUUUGAGUAGGAGCAUAGCUGUUGGGACCCGAAAGAUGGUGAACUAUGCCUGAAUAGGGUGAAGCCAGAGGAAACUCUGGUGGAGGCUCGCAGCGGUUCUGACGUGCAAAUCGAUCGUCAAAUUUGGGUAUAGGGGCGAAAGACUAAUCGAAC
RNAcentral lists this ribosomal RNA (839 nucleotides) under Orbilia microserpens. RNAcentral describes it as "LSU rRNA". It matches the Rfam family "Eukaryotic large subunit ribosomal RNA", at positions 80 to 940 of the family's 3401-position model. Lineage: Eukaryota; Fungi; Ascomycota; Orbiliomycetes; Orbiliales; Orbiliaceae. The record is from RNAcentral.